Molecule: unclassified non-coding RNA, 433 nt
Filed under: soil metagenome
Description: partial contains 5.8S ribosomal RNA, internal transcribed spacer 2, and large subunit ribosomal RNA
Rfam family: 5.8S ribosomal RNA (bases 1-120)
Source: RNAcentral
GAUGAAGAACGUAGCGAAAUGCGAUACGUAAUGUGAAUUGCAGAAUUCAGUGAAUCAUCGAAUCUUUGAACGCAUAUUGCGCUCUCUGGUAUUCCGGAGAGCAUGCUUGUUUGAGUAUCAGUAAACACCUCAACUUCCAUAUCUUUUUUUGAAAUGGGAGUUGGACUUGAGUGAUCCCAACGCUUUUCCUCACCGAAAAGUGGCGGGUUACUUGAAAUGCAGGUGCAGCUGGACUUUUCUCUGAGCUAUAAGCAUAUCUAUUUAGUCUGCCUAAAAAACAGAUUAUUACCUUUGCUGCAGCUAACAUAAAGGAGAUUAGUUCUUGUGCAGACUGAUGCAGGAUUCACAAAGACAGCUUCGGCCGACUUUGUAAACUCGAUCUCAAAUCAAGUAAAACUACCCGCUGAACUUAAGCAUAUCAAUAAGCGGAGGA